CAAAGAUUUUCCUUCACCAUCUAUCUUUUAUCCCUUCAUAUCAUAUUCCCCUUUGGUCCCUCUAUCUUUUAGACCUCUAUUUAUAACACCACCAUUCCCCUCUCUUCUCUAAGUAUAAAAGAUUUGAGAAGAUGUAGAUAAAACGCAGUUAGGAUCUCUUUUUUCUUACCGUGGUAGGAAUCGAGAAAGUGCUUGUUUCAUCAUCGUGCACUUGUAUCAAUUGAAGCUGCCAGCUUGAUCUAAACUUUUCUUGUUUGUUCAGGGAAGGUCAGAUCAUAUGGCAGCUUCAUUUGACGCCUGUGACACGAAAAUAUACCCUAAUAUCAGCAUAAUCAUUUAGGGUUUCUUUUGGUGGAGAAGAUUGGUCUUUUUGGAGUAAAGAAAUGUAAGGAAAAUAUUGGUGGAUUGUAAGUAUUUUUUUUAACAAGAAUUCUUAUUUGACUCUCGAAAUCUAUGAUUCAAAGAACCCUAAAUAUGCUUCGGGUGGUGA
This is a long non-coding RNA of Olea europaea var. sylvestris, 490 nucleotides long. RefSeq lists it as uncharacterized. The transcript has 2 exons. Lineage: Eukaryota; Viridiplantae; Streptophyta; Magnoliopsida; Lamiales; Oleaceae. The record is from RefSeq and is a predicted model, not a curated record.